AGUGAACGCUGGCGGUAGGCCUAACACAUGCAAGUCGAACGGCAGCACAGUAAGAGCUUGCUCUUACGGGUGGCGAGUGGCGGACGGGUGAGGAAUACAUCGGAAUCUACUUUUUCGUGGGGGAUAACGUAGGGAAACUUACGCUAAUACCGCAUACGACCUACGGGUGAAAGCAGGGGAUCUUCGGACCUUGCGCGAUUGAAUGAGCCGAUGUCGGAUUAGCUAGUUGGCGGGGUAAAGGCCCACCAAGGCGACGAUCCGUAGCUGGUCUGAGAGGAUGAGCAGCCACACUGGAACUGAGACACGGUCCAGACUCCUACGGGAGGCAGCAGUGGGGAAUAUUGGACAAUGGGCGCAAGCCUGAUCCAGCCAUACCGCGUGGGUGAAGAAGGCCUUCGGGUUGUAAGGCCCUUUUGUUGGGAAAGAAAAGCAGCAGGUUAAUACCCCGCUGUUCUGACGGUACCCAAAGAAUAAGCACCGGCUAACUUCGUG
RNAcentral lists this ribosomal RNA (492 nucleotides) under uncultured bacterium. RNAcentral's name for it is "partial 16S ribosomal RNA". It matches the Rfam family "Bacterial small subunit ribosomal RNA", at positions 29 to 507 of the family's 1533-position model. The record is from RNAcentral.